Molecule: ribosomal RNA, 491 nt
Filed under: uncultured bacterium
Lineage: Bacteria
Description: partial 16S ribosomal RNA
Rfam family: Bacterial small subunit ribosomal RNA
Source: RNAcentral
AGUGAACGCUGGCGGUAGGCCUAACACAUGCAAGUCGAACUGCAGCACAGUAAGAGCUUGCUCUUACGGGUGGCGAGUGGCGGACGGGUGAGGAAUACAUCGGAAUCUACUUUUUCGUGGGGGAUAACGUAUGGAAACUUACGCUAAUACCGCAUACGACCUACGGGUGAAAGCAGGGGAUCUUCGGACCUUGCGCGAUUGAAUGAGCCGAUGUCGGAUUAGCUAGUUGGCGGGGUAAAGGCCCACCAAGGCGACGAUCCGUAGCUGGUCUGAGAGGAUGAUCAGCCACAAUGGAACUGAGACACGGUCCAGACUACUACGGGAGGCAGCAGUGGGGAAGAUUGGACAAAGGGCGCAAGCCUGAUCCAGCCAUACCGCGUGGGUGAAGAAGGCCUUCGGGUUGUAAAGCCCUUUUGUUGGGAAAGAAAAGCAGCAGGUUAAUACCCCGCUGUUCUGACGGUACCCAAAGAAUAAGCACCGGCUAACUUCGU